AGUAUCAUGGCUCAGAUUGAACGCUGGCGGCAUGCCUAACACAUGCAAGUCGAACGGUAACAGGAAGCAGCUUGCUGCUUUGCUGACGAGUGGCGGACGGGUGAGUAAUGUCUGGGAAACUGCCUGAUGGAGGGGGAUAACUACUGGAAACGGUAGCUAAUACCGCAUAACGUCGCAAGACCAAAGAGGGGGACCUUCGGGCCUCUUGCCAUCGGAUGUGCCCAGAUGGGAUUAG
RNAcentral lists this ribosomal RNA (235 nucleotides) under uncultured bacterium. RNAcentral describes it as "partial 16S ribosomal RNA". It matches the Rfam family "Bacterial small subunit ribosomal RNA", at positions 13 to 244 of the family's 1533-position model. The record is from RNAcentral.